Long non-coding RNA from Bicyclus anynana (squinting bush brown), 654 nucleotides. RefSeq lists it as uncharacterized. The transcript has 2 exons. The record is from RefSeq and is a predicted model, not a curated record. NCBI's taxonomy places the organism in Eukaryota, Metazoa, Arthropoda, Insecta, Lepidoptera, Nymphalidae.
AAUCUAUGAUUUUAGUGGUGUUGCAACACUUUUUAGCCGACUUUGAAAAAGGAGGAAGUUUUACGUUCUGCUGUAUGUGUAUUUUCAUCUAAUCUAAACAUACUGGAAGUCACAAGCACAAGUCAGCAGCUAUAAAUUGUCAAAAUCAGCAGCGCUAUAAAUAUUAUAAACAUAGAUCUGUAAUUAUAAAUCUUUUAUGGAUGAGUAGAAUGAAGAAUGUCCAGAAUGAGUCUUUACAAGCAGCGUGGUGAAGCCAGUGAAACCGGAUCUUAGGCUGCAAGUCCAUUGAAGCGGAGCGAGGCAGCGAAGCCGAGAAACAGAGAAAUAUUAACCAAUAGGAGUGCACCAAAUCUCCGCACCUCUUAAGUCGACAGGGACUUGCAAGCUAGUUUAAAAAUUCAUAUAAAACCAGUAAGCGGAGCGGGUAAACGGAGCGAGGUUAAAUAAAUUAAAUUUGACUUUUAUUUAUUUAUUUAACAUAGUCUGCAACUCCGUAUAGGAGUACAGACACAGUACGCAACUCCGCUCCACAUUAGUCCGUUUCUCCGCUACGAUCCCUCGCUCCGCUCUGGUGGACAGACAGCUUAUGAUCAUUAUUGAUAGCAGAUGUCUACAACAGCUAAAUCUGCAUGAAAUUAAAUAUUUUUCAGAUAA